UGUGGGAGCGGGCUUGCUCGCGAAUGCGGUGUGUCAGUUACACAUGAGCUGACUGACCCACCGCAUUCGCGAGCAAGCCCGCUCCCACA
RNAcentral lists this unclassified non-coding RNA (89 nucleotides) under Pseudomonas antarctica. The record is from RNAcentral. Lineage: Bacteria; Pseudomonadati; Pseudomonadota; Gammaproteobacteria; Pseudomonadales; Pseudomonadaceae.